CCUACGGGAGGCAGCAGUGGGGAAUAUUGCGCAAUGGGCGAAAGCCUGACGCAGCGACGCCGCGUGAGGGAUGAAGGUCUUCGGAUCGUAAACCUCUGUCAGCAGGGAAGAACGGUCACUGUGCUAAUCAGCAGUGAAUUGACGGUACCUGCAAAGGAAGCACCGGCUAACUCCGUGCCAGCAGCCGCGGUAAUACGGAGGGGGCGAGCGUUAAUCGGAAUUACUGGGCGUAAAGCGCUCGUAGGCGGUAUGGCAAGUCAAGGGUGAAAUCCCCGCGCUCAACGUGGGAACUGCCUUUGAAACUGGCAGACUGGAGUGUGUGAGAGGAUAGUGGAAUUCCAGGUGUAGGAGUGAAAUCCGUAGAUAUCUGGAGGAACAUCAGUGGCGAAGGCGACUAUCUGGCACAUAACUGACGCUGAGGAGCGAAAGCGUGGGUAGCAAACAGGAUUAGAUACCCCGGUAGUC
Molecule: ribosomal RNA, 465 nt
Filed under: uncultured bacterium
Lineage: Bacteria
Description: partial 16S ribosomal RNA
Rfam family: Bacterial small subunit ribosomal RNA
Source: RNAcentral